Molecule: long non-coding RNA, 1550 nt
Filed under: Chinchilla lanigera (long-tailed chinchilla)
Lineage: Eukaryota; Metazoa; Chordata; Mammalia; Rodentia; Chinchillidae
Description: lncRNA (ENSCLAG00000026806.1)
Source: RNAcentral
GCUGGGGGAGGCCAGGGAAGGCAGAGCGCUAAAGCAGUUUAACCAGAGUGGCUGGAGGGCAGCUGGGGCCAGGUCCUGGCAAGCCUUGGGCCCUACAGGAGCGGACACUCUGUCCCCUAGGCAUGGGUCAGAGGAAAGACAGCAGGGUUCUAAGCAGAGGACCUGCAAGAUGCAGCCAGCCAGGGCCUUGGUUCUGGCCUCCCUGGGGUCUGGGGCCAGCCCAUCUCUGAGCACUUUUCUGUGCCCUAGUGUUCUUACCCCACCCACUGGUGCCCGGCUCUCUCCUCUGUCCUCCUGGAACUCUGUUUCUGAUCAGCCCAAGAGGUGCCCUGUCAAUAGAGGAAGGCAAGCAGCACCUGCUCCCUAGGUGGCUUUGGUUUCACUCUCCCACCAGAGGCUUGUCUCCAACAGACCCACGGUGACCUCUGCUCUGUAUAAGGACUAAGCCCCGUGGGAAAUGCCCUUCCCAGUGUCCUACAACCAUCGUGCCCUGCAGGCCCAGAGAAAUGCGGACUCUGAUAUAGCCCAGGCAGAUUUAUAACCACAGCGAUGGACUUCAGGCAAGAGGGGAAGAUUCUCCCAUGGCAGAAACAAAAGAAAAUUCAAAGCCAGAGUAGUGAGCAGGAGCUAACGUCAAAUGCCUCACCGAAGUAUUAAAGCCAGAUGAAGUGUUGGUAUUGUAGCACCCAGGAGGCAUGAGGAGGCGAGAUGAGGAACCUAGCGCUCAGAAAAGGCAAGGAGUGCUCUUUCUUCACUGAGCCAGAAACCUAGAAAAGCUGCCCCUUCUGUACAGUGAAAGCAGGGAAACACCACCCACCACUCACAAAAGUGGACCCACCUCCCCUGGCCACGAGUAAAAAAGAAGAUACCAGAGAAAAAUCUGAGCCUUAAGUCUGUGCCAUGUCCAAUGGGGGAUCCUAAAGCUGUACCAUCCACCAGGUAUGAGACCCUAGGAGAAAAUAAUUACAGCAAAACCUGCUUAUGUGCAGGGGAGCCCCUAAGGCUGUGGCCAAGAAGAAUGUAAAAUCUGCACCUCCCGGAUGGGACUCAGCACCUUCAGAAGCUGAGCUUGGAGUAAGCAGAACUGAGUAGGAAGAAAAGUAGAAGCCAAAACAAGGAUCUCCAACCAUACCUAGCAGGAGUUCUGAAGAGAGAUCUUCUCUGAGGAACUUUCAGUGCAUGGGCCUCCAAAACUAAAAAUAUAUAUGUUUCCAUAGCAAGAAUGUAGUGUGAGUUCCAAGCAGGAUAUGUACCAACAAACCCUUGCGUUUAAAGUGGGGAGCAACACAUUAAAAGCUGGUAAGUUAAAUGCUAGGUGUAGAAUAUUGUUUAAGGCAUAAAAGAGCAAAUAGUUAUACACCCAAACGGGAUACGGGAGAAAGGGAGCUGGGGGAGUAAACUAACCUCCUUGGCUUUCAUGGUGGGAAAAAUCUCUUAAGUUAUAAUUCAAUAAAUUAGACAUAAAAGAAUAUUGUGUAUAGUUACAAGGCAACCACCAGAGGAACUAAAAAUACUCCAUAAACCUUCCAAAUUGUUAGAGGGGAAACCAA